AACGCGAAGAACCUUACCAAGUCUUGAGAUCCUGAUGAAUAACUGGUAAUGCAGUUAGCCCUUCCGGGCAUCAGAGACAGGUGGUGCAUGGUUGUCGUCAGCUCGUGUCGUGAGAUGUUGGGUUAAGUCCCGCAACGAGCGCAACCCCUAUUUUCAGUAGCCAGCAUUUCGGAUGGGCACUCUGAAGAGACUGCCGGGGUCAACCCGGAGGAAGGUGGGGAUGACGUCAAAUCAUCAUGCCCCUUAUGACUUGGGCCACACACGUGCUACAAUGGCGUAAAGGAAGGGAAGCGAGAGCGUGAGUUUUAGCAAAUCCCAAAAAUAACGUCUCACUUCCGACUGCAGUCUGCUACUCGACUGCACCAAGCUGGAAUCGAUAGCAAUCGCAAAUCAACAUGCUGCAUUGAAUACGUUGCCGGGUCUUGUACACACGG
RNAcentral lists this ribosomal RNA (434 nucleotides) under uncultured rumen bacterium. RNAcentral describes it as "bacterial SSU rRNA". It matches the Rfam family "Bacterial small subunit ribosomal RNA", at positions 958 to 1392 of the family's 1533-position model. The record is from RNAcentral.